RNAcentral lists this ribosomal RNA (407 nucleotides) under uncultured bacterium. RNAcentral describes it as "partial 16S ribosomal RNA". It matches the Rfam family "Bacterial small subunit ribosomal RNA", at positions 30 to 526 of the family's 1533-position model. The record is from RNAcentral.
AUUGAACGCUAGCGGGAUGCCUUACACAUUCAAGCCGAACGGAGUGGCGCACGGGUGCGUAAUGUAUCGGAACGUGCCCAGUAGCGGGGGAUAACUACGCCAAAGCGUAGCUAAUACCGCAUACUCUUGGCGUGGCCGAUAUCGGAGUAGCUAGUUGGUGGGGUAACGGCUCACCAAGGCGUCGAUCCGUAGCUGGUUUGAGAGGACGACCAGCCACACUGGGACUGAGACACGGCCCAGACUCCUACGGGAGGCAGCAGUGGGGAAUUUUGGACAAUGGGGGAAACCCUGAUCCAGCCAUGCCGCGUGUGCGAUGAAGGCCUGCGGGUUGUAAAGCACUUUUGGCAGGAAAGCGGUACCUGCAGAAGAAGCACCGGCUAACUACGUGCCAGCAGCCGCGGUAAUUC